Molecule: ribosomal RNA, 88 nt
Filed under: Pseudomonas syringae
Lineage: Bacteria; Pseudomonadati; Pseudomonadota; Gammaproteobacteria; Pseudomonadales; Pseudomonadaceae
Also listed under: 3 other names
Source: RNAcentral
CUGAUCCCAUCCCGAACUCAGUAGUGAAACGAUGUAUCGCCGAUGGUAGUGUGGGGUUUCCCCAUGUGAGAGUAGGUCAUCGUCAAGA